GCAAAUUGAGGAGUAAAUUGAAACAUUUUGGAAUUUUCCAAACGACGAACUGUGCAAUUUCUGUGCAUUAAUCUGUCAAAAGCAACGUUAAAUGAACGGUCAUACAUUAACAGAUGUUUAAUUCUCAACAAAAGUCAAUGCAGUGCUGCUAUUGUAAAUUUUCCAUGCAACAGGAUCAGCCAAUGUUAUACACAAUUAAACAACGAUGGCCAGGGCUUUUUGUUGAAGAACAGGUUUAUGCAGAAUUUCUAUGCAUAACCUGCGCUGAUCAUGAAGUUACUCCUAACAUCACUGAACCAUUCUACUGUGGGCUUGCUUAUGAU
Long non-coding RNA from Erpetoichthys calabaricus (reedfish), 323 nucleotides. RefSeq lists it as uncharacterized. The transcript has 3 exons. The record is from RefSeq and is a predicted model, not a curated record. NCBI's taxonomy places the organism in Eukaryota, Metazoa, Chordata, Cladistia, Polypteriformes, Polypteridae.